CCUACGGGGGGCAGCAGUGAGGAAUAUUGGUCAAUGGGCGCAAGCCUGAACCAGCCAAGUCGCGUGAGGGAUGACGGUCCUAUGGAUUGUAAACCUCAUUUGUCGGGGAGCAAGUCCCGCCACGUGUGGCGGGAAGGCGAGUACCCGAAGAAAAAGCAUCGGCUAACUCCGUGCCAGCAGCCGCGGUAAUACGGGGGGUGCAAGCGUUGUCCGGAGUCAUUGGGGGUACAGGGUUAGUAGGCGGGACGUAAAGUCUGGUGUUAAAGGCAGGGGCUUAACUUCUGUACGGCACUGUAUACUUGCGAGCUAGAGUGCAGUAGGGGUAAAGGGAAUUCCUGGUGUAGCGGUGAAAUGCUUAGAUAUCAGGAGGAACACCGGUGGCGUAAGCGCUUUACUGGGCCGUAAUUGACGCUGAGGAACGAAAGCGAGGGGAGCAAAUGGGAUUAGAUACCCCAGUAGUC
Molecule: ribosomal RNA, 461 nt
Filed under: uncultured bacterium
Lineage: Bacteria
Description: partial 16S ribosomal RNA
Rfam family: Bacterial small subunit ribosomal RNA
Source: RNAcentral